Molecule: unclassified non-coding RNA, 6075 nt
Filed under: Acanthaster planci (crown-of-thorns starfish)
Lineage: Eukaryota; Metazoa; Echinodermata; Asteroidea; Valvatida; Acanthasteridae
Description: probable E3 ubiquitin-protein ligase RNF217, transcript variant X2
Source: RNAcentral
UUGACGUACCCUUUUGCACAACACUCGAGCCAUAUUCAUAAGCAUAUUGCGUAGUUCGUUUGUUUCCGGCGAUUUUCUUGUAAACUUCAAGUGGGUGAAAAAUCAGUAGAUACUGGCUGCUGUGUGCUUUAAAAAUGGAAGAAACACAUUCCUUGUCAGAAGCCCAGGAGAAAAUAGAGGAAUCAGAAAUUCCUGUGAAGCUGGAUGGCAGAGAGAUUGUAAAUGAUGAGACAUCAGAUGGCACAAGCAAGAAAUCCCUGGCUAAGCUGAGUUCCCUGCCCUCCCCGCAGGCCAGCCCAAGCCAGGCCAACCCACUCCGCCGAAGUCUAAGCUACCCGCCUGCCUGUUGUGGCCAUGUCUGCCGCCUCUGUGCAGGGCUGUGUGUAUGCCCCCGCUGCCCACGGAGUGCCGAGCAUGAGGAGGACAAAACUGGAGAGGCAACAGGAGGGAGUGCGUCCACUCGUGCCGCCCGGCCGCGACUGCGACGACGGCAGUCUGGCGGGAGCAUGCGCACCUGCCACCGCCACAAGCUGGCCUGCAUGCGGGACUCCCUCCCCGCUUCCCUGGAGAGCCUGCAGGAAGCAGGUUAUGUCCCUGUUGACACAGAGCCGAGCGUCUCAGCCACUGCGACCACGGCCCACCCGGGCGUCCUGUUCCCCAGGGCUGAGCAGGAGUUUGCCGAGUGUCAGGUCUGCCUGCUGGAGACCUUUGGCCGGCCCAGGCUCUGCUGCCACUUGCAUGUCUGUGACGCCUGCCUCCAGUGGUACAUCCGGGAAAAGGUCCAACACCGCAUCCUCAGCAUUCGCUGCCCCAACCCUGCCUGUAGCGACUCCAUCUGCCGUGAGGAGAUACAACACCACCUUAGCAGCCAGCUCCUCACAAAAUUCCUGAGGUUCCUGAUUGAGGAGAACAGCGAUCCAGAUCAGAAGACCUGCCCACGUUGUAACCACGUUGCCAACUUUCAUCGAGAUGUCUUGAUCAGCAAGCACAAAUCACAUCCAGAUGAGCAGAAGGUGACCUGCCUUUGCGGUAUGCUGUGGUGUUUCCGCUGUCACUCCCCCUGGCAUGAGAAUAUCACCUGUAAGCAGUACCAGAGAGGGGACCGGCUGCUGAAGGAAUGGGCCAAGGAGCAUCACUACGGACAGCCUAACGCCAACCGGUGCCCCAAGUGUAAGGUGUACAUCCAGCGAAGCUCAGGUUGCGACAACAUGACCUGCAGCCAGUGCCGCACGUCGUUCUGCUACCGCUGCGGCGAGCGCUUCUACUACGUCAAGUUCUUUGGCAACCAUUACUCAGCCUUCAGUGUAUUUGGUUGCAAGUAUCGCCUGCUGCCCAAUAAACCAGUCAAGCGCAAGUUGAUUCGGGGCGCCAUCUUUGGAUGCAAGAUCGCUGCUGCUCCUGUCUGCAUCACGCUGGCUGUGGGUGUGGGCUGCGUUCUCCUGGUGGCCCUGGGACCAGCCUAUGCAACCUAUGCUGCCUGCCGCGAGUACAAGAACCGGCGUUACGAGCGCAAGCGCCGGCGCCAGUUUCGCAUGCAUCGGCAGUAUAUGGAAUACAGCCACCAGCUCUACAGCGGAAUGGACAGAGCCCACCAGGAGUUGAAGCCACGGGCCGCAACCCUAAUUGACCUCCCACCUUCGUCGUGGCAACCAGACUUCUCAGAGGACUCAGACACAUGGACAGAGGUAUGAAGAAUAAACAGGAUAGGCAUUUAUCGAUUUAAAUUAAUACAUUUCUUAAUUAUGGCAGGAAGUAUUGAUAUUGUACUCCUGUAACUAAGUUAAUGAAAAGGAAAUAUUGUCAGCAAAUGUACAUGUAAAUGUGUGUUUUCCAUGUAACGUCUGCCCAUGGUUUGCACAUUGUCAUGAUUGUACAUGUAGCAUGUGCUCAUAUCUGCAUGGGGCCUUGUAUGAAGCUGGUUUAUUUGCAGAGUUACAACUUCUGACAAAAAUCCUUUGGUUUCAGCUGUCCAAAAUGUUUGUGAAGGAAACACAUUGUGUCAACACUUCUCAUGCACUGGAAGCCACCGACAGUCCAUUCUGUUCUCUCUCUUUGUGAGAAUUCCUUAGUUCUGUCGAGAUGUAAGCAUUAUCACAUGAUAAAACUUCACCAAUCAGAAUGUGAACUGAUCAAGAUACUCAUGAAUAAAUAUUAGAAAAUCGCAUCAGAAUUAUGAAAAGUUCCCUGAGUUUCUGUUGGUACCCCUUUGUAUAUAAAUAGAGUAUAUGUAUGCAGCGCAUUAUUUUGUUUGUUUUAAGUAUUUAUUUUGUAAAAGACAUUAUUUGAGAUCAUUUAUAUUUGGCAGCAUUCAAAAGAGUGUUUGCAUGUACAUAAUUGUGGAUGAUCGUUUUUGCUUCUUUACCUUUUGAAAAUCUGAGGUAAACCAGUUUGUUGAUGCUACCAGAUACAUGUAAAAGCAUGAUGAAAAAACUGCGAGAGACCGGGUUUUGAUGAAUGGUAACAAUGUCUCAGUGAACAGUCAAUGUGUGUGAUUUGGUACAUUCUGUUGAAAGAUGGGUUUUUAGAAUGCAAGUUGACACCUUUCACUCUGCAGGGUGUUACAAUUCGAAAUUUGUUUCCGAACUUCUACUCAGCAUUCAAUAGAUAGUGUUGUUGCAUGCAAUAGAUAGUGGUAUAGAGAAUUUCCCAAAAUAUCCCCAAGUUGGGAAAAUCUCUCGUGUCAAUGUGGACUGUUAAUUCUUUUGACAUUUUACCUGGCUUUUCUAUAUUUUGAAAAAACUGAACUUCCUUCGCUCAGAAUGUAUUUUGCAAGGAAAGCUGUUACAUGUGUCAUGUUUUAAGCAUUACUCAUGCACUAACGAAGGAUUCAUGUGUGACACCCCUUUCUAACCGAGACACAGUGGAAGUGUAAACAGAAAGAUGACAACACUAGUAUUGUAAGAAACAACAAGCAAAAAUGUUUAUAAAAAGACUGCUAAUUUUGUUGCAAUUGUUUAUUUAUUUAUUUUUAUACAUGUAGAUGCAUGUGCUGUGUGUCUGAUUACAGAUUUCCCGAUAUGGCUGGUCCGUUCUGGGAAAAUCAACAUUCCAUAUGUGAGGCAUGUUUUUAUCAAAGUCCAAUAGUUGCCGAAAUGAAAAGAAGAAAAAAUGAUAUAUACAUACAAAACGAUUUUAGUGUUACAUGUACAUGCUAGUUUACCAUUACACACAUGGAAACAACAAUAUGUACAGAUGUAUACCAGUAGAUUUAUUGAACAGAAACGAGUUGGUUGCUAAGUAAACGACAGGAAAGUUUGAAAUGUGGGUCUUCACAAUCUCCAUUGGAAAAUGUCGUUUGCUGUUCCAAUGCCUUGUGGGCAUUUUGUUCUACAGAGCCAUAGUUGAGCUUUGGAAGUUCAUUUGCUCAUGUAUACAGUAUAUUGUGCUUUGUUGAUAAUUUGCUAUGCAUCACCCACUAAGAGAGCUUCAGAAUUUCUGUGGGUUGUGCCGGUGUUGUUAGCCAAUGCUUAUGGGUGUUUUGCUCUGUAACACUGUCAAGUUGCAGAGUCUUGAAAUUCUGAAAUUUUGAUGGACCCCAACUCAGUAUUUCAGCUGGUUUGUCCUCAGCUUAAGUGCUUCAGUUAACAGGAGUUGUACCUGUAAUUGGUACAUGUUUAUCAUUGGCUUGGUCUGGGACACCUUUAAGCAUUGGGAGUAAAAGUAAACUGUUCCACUUGUGAGUUACAUGUUGGUGUACUUCUUGCGAUUGUUGCAGGUAAGAAAAAUGUUGAGGUCAAAAUUGAGCAGCUUACACUGCACAAAUUUUAAUGAAUUUCACAAGCCUUCAGCGUUCGUAUCACAUACAUGUUCACUGAGAUCAUGUGCAGCCUUGCCAGGGUUUAAAAAUACCCUGCCCCCUCCCCCCGAAAACAAGCCACAGAUGUACAGAAACUGUGGCAGUGACCAUGUUUAUUCUUAGUGGCACAAAAGUGUACAGGUACAUGUAUCUCUUUGGUUCCAAUAAGCUGUGUAAAAUGUUGCUGGAUAGAUGCAUGUGCUUAACAAGAAUUAACAGAGAACCAGGAACAGUCAGUUGGACAUUGACAGUUGGCUGGUAACAUCAAGCCAGACUCUCCAGUGCUCAGCAAAUGAAUUUGUGUACAUACAUGUACCACCACAGUCAAAUUGGCUACUCACAUAUCAGUAGAGAUGCCAACAUUUGAAAAUAAAAAAGUGUAAUCCUGUGUGUGCAGAGCGCGAAGCCCUUACGGCGUGGGGUCCGGGGCCCACUUAAGGGCCCUGGGAAAUUUUGGGUUCUAGAUGCUCUGUGGUGCAAUCUGAGGCAUUUCCUGGCCCUUUUUCCCAACAUAUUUUUCCUGUUUACAGUAUUAAAUGUACAAGUACAUGUAAGUGUGAUUUUUAAGGGAAUGUUUGUGUUAUUAAAAAAAAAUUUUCAGGGCCAUUUUUUUUGAUGAGUGGAACUAAUUGUGCCACAAAGUGGGGAUUCAUUACUUGAGUUGAUAUUUAGUGUAAUGCAUACAUAUUUUAACUUAUCUUUGCCCUCCUAGUGCCGAAGAGAUUGAUUUGUGGCUUGUUUGGCUUUUUGAAGCAAUUGCUUGCUGGGUUUGAAUCGGUGGCAAGGUUUUUUCACUGCACUUUUCUGCACAAGGAGCACUUCCAAUGUUUCCACUGGCUUUUUUUUCGCACCAUUCUGAAAAUACGUUCACAAGUUGCAUUUGAGUGAGGAAGUACCAAAAUUCCAAGCAUCACAGGAGCCAAUACACCGUAGAGAUGAGUCCUAUCUGAUGGAGUGGCCUUGGCCAGUUCAUGCCACUGAGCAUCUAUGCGAUCCAUAGAGAGUAUCUCUGGCUUUAGACUGUCCACCUGGAAGAAUGCAAACUCUUGUUCAAGUUGACUUAACUGAGAACUGUCAGGUAGUAAACAGCUGAACCUGUUUAUGAAGUAGGCACGGGAUGCAUAUGUCUUUUCAUCUAUUGAUUCCAGAUCCACAACUUCAGCAUGAAGUAAAAGAUCGUCAUUUAGGGGGAAUUUGUCGCAAUGUACUGACAUGCAGUCUCAUAAUAGAGAUGCACAGCUGAGUAAAAUGCAGCCCAAUCACAGUGAAUCAGCCGUCCUGUGGGAUUUUCCUCUUUUUCUUUUCUGCAUCAAUGAACUUCCUAACUUGAGCUCCAACUACAAGUCCUGCAUCUACUUUCUGAUUGGAUUUCAGUCUGAAAUUCACCCCACACACAUUUUCACUCUCCCUGAUAACUGCUGGCUUAACAAAUUGGACCAGUAUUUUUUCAACAGACUGAAGAACUCUCUUCGUAAUCUGUGAAUGAGAGGGGCUUCAUUUUGAAGGUAGGUAUUAAAUCCUUCAAACAUAGGAAGUAGUUCAUCAAGGAAGUAGCAAUACAGUUUGGUCUGAGGUGAAACAAAAAGUCUCUUGACCCGCUGUGCACAAGAAUCUGUCAUCUCCUUUGAUGCUUCCGCGGGCUUUUGCCCAAAGGGUCUCUUCCCAGCUGAUGAACUGGUAGUGGUACUCAAAAGAUGCUAUUGCCAAGGAGGUAUCUUCCCAGCUGAUGGAUUGGUAGUGGUACGUGAAGUAUGCUAUUGCCUAGGAGGUUUCUUCCCAGCUGAUGGAUUGGUAGUGGUACUCGAAACAUGCUAUUGCCAAGGAGGUAUCUUCCCAGCUGAUGAACUGGUAGUGGUACUCGAAACAUGCUAUUGCCCAGGAGGUUUCUUCCCAGCUGAUGAACUGGUGCUUGUGGUAGUGGUAGGUUUUGCUGGACAAGGUUUUGCUUGAAUAGACUCUGCUUGGGUUGUUGUACCUGCAGAAUCGGCAACUAUACCUGUUGCGAUGGAUUUGCUGGUUGGGCACGAUGACCUCGUACAUGACAGUACUUGUACUUAACUUGCAGCACAGGGUGGAUCCUUUGAAUCAUCAGCCUUCCGCUUCUGACAAGUGGUGGUAACAGCUUUUACAGUUUUAGAUGUAAGUCUUUUGCACUCUUCGUUGAAUAAAUCAGUCAGUGGUUCAUACUGCGCAAGAAGUCACUUUAUGCAAAUCCCAAGGGACAGCCAUCUGGUGCUGCAAUGCUUAAGCAUCUUUACUGGCUCAGAACCACACUGAAU